Molecule: long non-coding RNA, 261 nt
Organism: Daphnia pulicaria
Lineage: Eukaryota; Metazoa; Arthropoda; Branchiopoda; Diplostraca; Daphniidae
Exons: 4
Source: RefSeq, a predicted model, not a curated record
CAGGAAGGAGUGGACUCAUUCUCAUUGAGCAUGCUUAUAAGAUUGUAGAGUAAAAUAUGGAAUCUCCGAAUCUGACUGACUCUGUUGCUGUAGACCCCACUUAAUUGAAAUUAUGAUGCCUUAUCCACAAAAUGAGCAACAAUGGAUUGGAAUCCUGAAUUUGGAAAGUCUUUUGUAGUUACAAGUGUCAUCGCUGGUAUGAGUUAAAAUCGGGUGUGAAAACCAGAUAACUUUACUGAGUGAUUAGCUGAUUGGCACAAG